Molecule: long non-coding RNA, 749 nt
Organism: Oncorhynchus gorbuscha (pink salmon)
Lineage: Eukaryota; Metazoa; Chordata; Actinopteri; Salmoniformes; Salmonidae
Exons: 4
Source: RefSeq, a predicted model, not a curated record
UUAAAAGCUAGGGUCGACCUCUGCCGGAUAUCAGCUUAAUGAGGAAGGAUGAAAACGUGAGGGCGUUCAAUACCAACUGGUAUCAAAAGUAUAGUUGGUUAACCAAGCCGCCUGUAUUGCUGGCCUUGCCUGCUUUUUGGAAAGUCUGCAACCUUGGUCGAAAGGUGGGUACAGUGACCUGAAGAACAUCGAUCAUUCAGCUAAACUGCAAAACACAUGUAGGGAGUAUAUAAAUGCCCACAUCAGAUUCAAGUUUCUGGGAAAAAGCUGCAUCGAUCAUGACGAAGGUCUGCGUUUUCAAACCGCUACCAAGCUGCUUAUCAACACCACGGCGUUUUGGGGCAUGCAAUCAUUUGCUUUUAGAGGACAUGACGAGAGGAAAAGCACUGCCAACAAGGGCAACUACAAGGAGCUUGCAGAGGGCCCAUGGUGUAAAAAUUGUCCCACCGCUCUGGGACCUAUGGUGCCACCAGUCUGCUUGCAGUUGUCAGUUAUCGUCAGCUAACUCUCCUCCUGUUCCCUGAUUUUUAAGAGUCAAAUCCUGUCCGGCACUUGUCAAGCCUCUGAACACCUCAGCUCAUGCCCCAUACCCUCAUUCAAUCACCACUGUGAUCCCUUUCCACCACUGUGUACAUUACCCUCUCAUUCCCAUUCCCCAUAAUAUUGUACUAUGAAUGUCUUUAUUAAAUGCUUUAGGUUAAAAAUCAUUUGUCUUUGAUGAUUUUUGAAACACAAUUUCUCAUCCCAGU